CGUGUCCUUCUAUAACAUAAUCUCUGGCACACUGGUCCACCUCCACACCUUCAACACCACAUUCACUGAACCUGUAUACCCUGGGUUUAGAGUUGGGUUACGUGACUCUCAUAUCUACAUCUGUGCUGACUCAGAAAACUGAACCUGAGCUCAUAAAGUAGCAAUAUAGCAAAGUUACUGAGCUACAGUAAUAUAACUGUGAUCCAUAUAUUAUAAAAUGCACAACAUUAUACAUUUGAAUGUGGUAAAUGUUUCAAAUGUGAUUCAAAUUACACCAACAGUCCACCAAAAGUCCUAGUGUCAUCUUCUUAACUUCUAGAUCAUGCAGUAGUAGUGGAAAUAAAAAACUGAGGAAAAAAAUUUAAAAGCAGGCAAAACAUUUGAUUAAGUGAACCGGUGGUUAUAAUAUGUUUGCAAUUCAAGUGCAUAGUUCAGAGGCUUUUGGAUAGGAAUCCUGUAGCACCACCAUCUGGCCAAAAAUUACUGAAAAGCAUCAGACAGAGCAGGAGUAGUUCAAAGUUCAGACUGGAUUCAAAACAGUACCAAAAGUGAGGCUUCGGGAUCACUUUGGAUCAGACUGUACUGGACCUGUGAAGAAUGAGAUGAGAAGAGCAUUAACAAACACUGAUACAAGUUCAUCACGUUGCUGUGUGAUGAUUUGACAGAGAACUCAAAUGAAAGCAGCAAUAAGGGAAUAUCAACACAUUCUCUUAUCAGCUCUGGUUUGAAGCUGCUAUCAAAACAUUAGAUUGAGUUUGCAGAAGUCUACAGUCAGAUUUUUGGAGCAAACACAUCCAAGACUCAAAGCUGGAAGUCUUCUUUCCUUCCUUUAAUUUGCUGAAGAAUUUGAAUAUUCUACCAACAACUUCUGCUUCUUAAAUUCUUUUUAAAUCCAUAAAUAUUUUAUUCCAAAUUGCAGUGGUUAGCGAGGCCUCCAUGUCUGAACCUCCUGGUCAGCUGAGAUCUUUACCUGUGCCUGUAUAAUCUGCUUUCAUGUAUAAUAGAAAGAUAUAAAUGAAGAAUGAAAACUUUCCUCAAUGCUGGAAAUGUUUUAGUGUAAUGUUACAGCUGUGAAUGCUGAUCAGAGAAAACUCUGUUUGUUCUGAGUUUAUAGACUGCAGUGUUUCAUUCAUUUUAAAUGAUGAUUAAACUCUCAUCCUUCCUUUGG
Molecule: long non-coding RNA, 1168 nt
Organism: Astatotilapia calliptera (eastern happy)
Lineage: Eukaryota; Metazoa; Chordata; Actinopteri; Cichliformes; Cichlidae
Source: Ensembl